AGUCGAACGGCAGCGCAGGGCAACCUGGCGGCGAGUGGCGAACGGGUGAGUAAUAUAUCGGAACGUACCCAAGAGUGGGGGAUAACGUAGCGAAAGUUACGCUAAUACCGCAUACGAUCUAAGGAUGAAAGUGGGGGAUCGCAAGACCUCAUGCUCCUGGAGCGGCCGAUAUCUGAUUAGCUAGUUGGUGAGGUAAAGGCUCACCAAGGCGACGAUCAGUAGCUGGUCUGAGAGGACGACCAGCCACACUGGGACUGAGACACGGCCNAGACUCCUACGGGAGGCAGCAGUGGGGAAUUUUGGACAAUGGGCGCAAGCCUGAUCCAGCAAUGCCGCGUGAGUGAAGAAGGCCUUCGGGUUGUAAAGCUCUUUUGUUAGGGAAGAAACGGCUGAGGAUAAUACCUUCGGCUAAUGACGGUACCUGAAGAAUAAGCACCGGCUAACUACGUGCCAGCAGCCGCGGUAAUACGUAGGGUGCAAGCGUUAAUCGGAAUUACUGGGCGUAAAGCGUGCGCAGGCGGUUUUGUAAGUCUGUCGUGAAAGCCCCGGGCUCAACCUGGGAAUUGCGAUGGAGACUGCAAGGCUUGAAUCUGGCAGAGGGGGGUAGAAUUCCACGUGUAGCAGUGAAAUGCGUAGAGAUGUGGAGGAACACCGAUGGCGAAGGCAGCCCCCUGGGUCAAGAUUGACGCUCAUGCACGAAAGCGUGGGGAGCAAACAGGAUUAGAUACCCUGGUAGUCCACGCCCUAAACGAUGUCUACUAGUUGUCGGGUUUUAAUUAACUUGGUAACGCAGCUAACGCGUGAAGUAGACCGCCUGGGGAGUACGGUCGCAAGAUUAAAACUCAAAGGAAUUGAC
This 856-nucleotide ribosomal RNA is filed under the name uncultured bacterium. RNAcentral describes it as "bacterial SSU rRNA". It matches the Rfam family "Bacterial small subunit ribosomal RNA", at positions 60 to 914 of the family's 1533-position model. The record is from RNAcentral.